Molecule: ribosomal RNA, 478 nt
Filed under: uncultured bacterium
Lineage: Bacteria
Description: bacterial SSU rRNA
Rfam family: Bacterial small subunit ribosomal RNA
Source: RNAcentral
GAUGAACGCUAGCGGCAGGCUUAACACAUGCAAGUCGAGGGGUAUAGUUCUUCGGAAUUAGAGACCGGCGCACGGGUGCGUAACGCGUAUGCAAUCUACCUUUCACAGAGGGAUAGCCCAGAGAAAUUUGGAUUAAUACCUCAUAGUAUGUGAGAAUCGCAUGGUUUUCACAUUAAAGUUCCAACGGUAAAAGAUGAGCAUGCGUCCCAUUAGCUAGAUGGUAAGGUAACGGCUUACCAUGGCGACGAUGGGUAGGGGUCCUGAGAGGGAGAUCCCCCACACUGGUACUGAGACACGGACCAGACUCCUACGGGAGGCAGCGGUGAGGAAUAUUGGGCAAUGGGCGCUAGCCUGACCCAGCCAUGCCGCGUGCAGGAAGACGGUCCUAUGGAUUGUAAACUGCUUUUGUACGGGAAGAAACCCUAUUACGUGUAGUAGAUUGACGGUACCGUACGAAUAAGGAUCGGCUAACUCCGUG